This 512-nucleotide ribosomal RNA is filed under the name uncultured bacterium. Its description in RNAcentral is "partial 16S ribosomal RNA". It matches the Rfam family "Bacterial small subunit ribosomal RNA", at positions 28 to 507 of the family's 1533-position model. The record is from RNAcentral.
GAUGAACGCUGGCGGCGUGCCUAAUACAUGCAAGUCGAACGAAACUUCUUUAUCACCGAGUGCUUGCACUCACCGAUAAAGAGUUGAGUGGCGAACGGGUGAGUAACACGUGGGCAACCUGCCCAAAAGAGGGGGAUAACACUUGGAAACAGGUGCUAAUACCGCAUAACCAUAGUUACCGCAUGGUAACUAUGUAAAAGGUGGCUAUACUACCGCUUUUGGAUGGGCCCGCGGCGCAUUAGCUAGUUGGUAGGGUAAAGGCUUACCAAGGCAAUGAUGCGUAGCCGAAUUGAUAGGGUGAUCGGCCACAUUGGGACUGAGACACGGCCCAAACUCCUACGGGAGGCAGCAGUAGGGAAUCUUCCACAAUGGGCGAAAGCCUGAUGGAGCAACGCCGCGUGGGUGAAGAAGGUCUUCGGAUCGUAAAACCCUGUUGUUAGAGAAGAAAGUGCGUGAGAGUAACUGUUCACGUUUCGACGGUAUCUAACCAGAAAGCCACGGCUAACUACGUG